RNAcentral lists this ribosomal RNA (404 nucleotides) under uncultured bacterium. RNAcentral describes it as "partial 16S ribosomal RNA". It matches the Rfam family "Bacterial small subunit ribosomal RNA", at positions 28 to 526 of the family's 1533-position model. The record is from RNAcentral.
GAUGAACGCUGACAGUAUGCUUAACACAUGCAAGUCAACUGUGGCGGACGGGUGAGUAACGCGUAAAGAACUUGCCUCACAGCUAGGGACAACAUUUGGAAACGAAUGCUAAUACCUGAUACUGUGAGAGAGCUUUGCGUCCCAUUAGCUCGUUGGAGAGGUAACGGCUCAGCAAGGCGCUGAUGGGUAGCCGGCCUGAGAGGGUGAUCGGCCACAAGGGGACGGAGACACGGCCCGUGCGAUGACGGGAGGCAGCAGUGGGGAAUAUUGGACAAUGGACCAAAGUCUGAUCAAGCAAUUCAGUGUGCACGAUGAAGUUUUCGGAAUGUAAGGUGCUUUCAGUUGAGAGGCGGUACCAGCAGAAGACGUGACGGCUAAAUACGUGCCAGCAGCCGCGGUAAUAC